CAGGGGAAUAGCCCAGGGAAACUUGGAUUAAUGCCCCAUGGUAUCGUUUUAUCGCAUGAUAUUACGAUUAAAGACUGAUCGGACAGGGAUGGCCAUGCGUACCAUUAGUUAGUUGGUGAGGUAACGGCUUACCAAGGCAGCGAUGGUUAGGGGCCCUGAGAGGGGGAUCCCCCACACUGGUACUGGAGACACGGACCAGACUCCUACGGGAGGCAGCAGUGAGGAAUAUUGGACAAUGGGCGGGAGCCUGAUCCAGCCAUGCCGCGUGCAGGAUGACGGCCCUAUGGGUUGUAAACUGCUUUUAUACGGGAAGAAACGCACCUACGUGUAGGUGUCUGACGGUACCGUAAGAAUAAGGACCGGCUAACUCCGUGCCAGCAGCCGCGGUAAUACGGAGGGUCCGAGCGUUAUCCGGAAUCAUUGGGUUUAAAGGGUCCGUAGGCGGGCCUGUAAGUCAGGGGUGAAAGUUUGUGGCUCAACCAUAAAAUUGCCUUUGAUACUGCAGGUCUUGAGUCAUGGUGGGGUUGCCGGAACAUGUGGUGUAGCGGUGAAAUGCAUAGAUAUCACAUAGAACACCGAUCGCGAAGGCAGGUGACCAACCAUGUACUGACGCUGAUGGACGAAAGCGUGGGUAGCGAACGGGAUUAGAUACCCCGGUAGUCCACGCCGUAAACGAUGGAUACUAGCUGUGGGGACUUCGGUCUCCGUGGCCAAGCGAAAGUGAUAAGUAUCCCACCUGGGGAGUACGUUCGCAAGAAUGAAACUCAAAGGAAUUGACGGGGGCCCGCACAAGCGGUGGAGCAUGUGGUUUAAUUCGAUGAUACGCGAGGAACCUUACCAGGGCUUAAAUGCAGGCUGCAUGGGGUGGAGACACCCCUUUCUUCGGACUGCCUGCAAGGUGCUGCAUGGUUGUCGUCAGCUCGUGCCGUGAGGUGUCAGGUUAAGUCCUAUAACGAGCGCAACCCCUACCGUUAGUUGCCAGCAUGUAAAGAUGGGGACUCUAACGGGACUGCCGGUGCAAACCGUGAGGAAGGUGGGGACGACGUCAAAUCAUCACGGCCCUUACGUCCUGGGCUACACACGUGCUACAAUGGCCGGUACAGAGGGAAGCCACCCCGCAAGGGGGCGCGGAUCUACAAAACCGGUCACAGUUCGGAUCGGGGUCUGCAACUCGACCCCGUGAAGCUGGAAUCGCUAGUAAUCGGAUAUCAGCCAUGAUCCGGUGAAUACGUUCCCGGGCCUUGUACACACCGCCCGUCAAGCCAUGGAAGCCGGGAGUGCCUGAAGU
Molecule: ribosomal RNA, 1288 nt
Filed under: Allomuricauda sp. enrichment culture clone S2
Lineage: Bacteria; Pseudomonadati; Bacteroidota; Flavobacteriia; Flavobacteriales; Flavobacteriaceae
Description: bacterial SSU rRNA
Rfam family: Bacterial small subunit ribosomal RNA
Source: RNAcentral